GGAGAGAUGGUGAGCCUGGGGUGGAGUACAUGUGUGAUUUGAGGGUACCAGGGGUCGGGGCUCUGAGUAAGAGUCUCCUUGGGAGAUGGAGUUGGGCUCUCCAAACCCAGAUCGCUCUCUCCACCGCUUGCAGACAGGUGACACGAGGCCUGACGUGGCUUUCUAAACCCGAGAGCCACUUCUAGUAAGCCCUCCGUGGUUCUAAAUGAAUGAGAGGUUUGGAGUGUAAACCGGCUGCUCCGACCCUCCGUUAGUGCUUGUACACGAGCCAUCUCGCCUGCUGAGCCUUUAUUUUUCUCCAGGCCACCGGGACAGACCAAGCAGUAGGAUUUGGCCUUGUCGCCGUUAGCUUGAUCAUCUUCACCUACUACACCACUUGGGUGAUUCUCUUGGUAUGUGUGCCCCACCCCCACCCCGCUCACCUUCAUUUUGCUCUGGAUCUCUAAGCCAGUUUCCUAACGCGACUUAAUCAGCGUCUGUGUGCCAGCGUCUGGAUGUUUAGCUAGCUCUAAUCUCACGAAAUCUACACUAUGGUGCUUGCAGAUGGUGUCUACAUUUUAUAGAUGAGGAGGCUAAGACUCGGGGAGAAGGCUGUUUCUCAGCCUCUGAACUGCCGCACAGUGAGGCUUUAUUUUGUGUUUGUCCUCCUGGUUAGCCAGCAGGUUCCUGGGUGUAGCAGUCGCCGGUGGAGUUUAUUAACAUCUCAAGUCUCUCUCUCUCUCUCUCUCUCUCUCUCUCUCUCUCUGCCUCUCUCUUUAAUGUGGGAAAUUUUGUUAGUUAUUGUUUUAAAGUACACUGUGCUUGGAAAGGGGCAUCUUGCAGUACUUGGUAUCCUUCAGAGAGGAAAGUUAGGUGGGCUGACCUUCGGUGAUGAAGAGAACUGGCUGAUUCUCCAGAGGACUGGGGUUCAAGUUCCAGCACCCACAUGGCCAGCUACAACCAUCUGUAACUCCAGCUCCAGGAGACCCAGCAAAAGUCCCUGGAACGGAACGCCAUUGCUGCUUAAGUUGUGUUAGGAGUUAGAUUGGAGAUCCAGGGCUUGGAUGAAAGUACACCUGGACUCACAGGCACAAAUGCAUGAUCAAAAAAUAAAGACCUCUUUAAAAGACCUAGAGUUCUCAGAAGGCAGAAGAAGGGGGGAGGGCAGCUUGGUGAGGUCAGCCAGGGCCUCAGAAAUCAAAAAGGAUGGUUUCCAGCACUCACAAGGCCCAGGCAGUAUUCAACAAUACAGAGACAAUAUGGUGGGUCUCUUGUUAUGAUACAUAUCCACGCUUGGGGAUGCUAUCAAGGUGGGCCCUCAGUAUCCAGUGCUGCCAGGGGGAGGUGGGACGGCUUCCCUUUGGGGCUGAGUAAGGUGAGCAGUACUCACCAGAGCUCUUGCCCUUGGUGCCAGCCAUUCAUUGACAGCCAGCAUGUCAUCCACAAAUACUUCCUGCCCCGCGCCUACGCCGUCCUCCUCCCGUUGGCCGCAGGCCUCCUGCUGCUCCUAUUUGUGGGUAAGUCUCCCGAUCUGGGGCAGGGUGUCUGGAAGGCAGCGUGCUUCCACAUGCUGGCACCUGCUGUACAUCUGCUUAGACUCUCCUUGUCACCAAUGCUCCCCGGGGCUUUCCUAUUCCUUAAAGGCCACGGGCAGAAGCUCCUCUAGUGGUGUUCCCAGUUUUCAGGUUCCUGGGGCAAUGAGGACAUGGCUCCCCUUUCUUUCCUGUCUCAGCUUCAUCUUCAUCUCUUCAAUGUUCCUGCCUCAAGUCACCCUGGCAUCUCUUACGGCUCUGUGGGUUGGGAACUGUGUCUUUGCUGUUACGCUAUUCUAAGCUCUAGCCCAGGAGCCUAAAAGAGUGCUUGGGUUGACUGAGGAACCACAUGGCCGGAUGAUGCACAGGUGGUUAGCCUUGCACCAUUUUGGUGAUAGUUAACUGACCCUCAGUGGCUGUGUGACCUAGUGAAUGACUGCAAAGAUGCACCCCUAGGGGGGUUGGUUGGGAGCCUGACCUUGCAUGCCUGGCCACCUAGCUUCCACUCCAAUCCUCCCAGUCCCUCCUAUUCUGUGUAUUACAGGAUUGUUCAUCACCUAUGUGAUGCUGAAGAGCCAGAAGAUAACCAAGAAGGCUCAGUGAAGGUCCAGCAGGGAUGAGGCUGUAGGGGCCUUCUCCAUAUCUCCUCCAGAAAAGGGACCAAGGGUCACAGCUUACAAGAUGGUCAAGCUGGCUGCACUGCAGCCCUCUUUGGGACAUGGGGCUGUUUUCUUCUCAGUUUGACAACCUGGAGCCCUCUCUCUCUUGGUCAUCCUUUUAGAAGCCAAGAGAAAGGUGGGUUGGGAAGCCUCUCACUUCCCUUAGGCUCAGAGGCUGAACAUUGCUGGUUGGUCCUGUCCAUCUCACAGUCAAAGCUCCCUGUCCCUUCCACCGAGUUCUCUCCUCUCACCUCUGUGCUCCUCCCACUGUGCUGAUGGAUUGAGCAGGCCUUCCCGCCUCUCUGUACAAGUCCUGUCCCGUCACAAGGCAGCUCUUCCGAGUCUGACACUUCCCAGGCUCCAUGAGGACUUCUGGACCCAGGAAGCCCUGGGGAAAGACUGACAAACCCCAGAACCACAGGGUUACAUCCAGGCAGCCACACUAGACCACAAUUGGCCUGUUUGGGAAAACUUACAAAUAAAUGUUAAUUGCGUUGGUGUUUGUCUCUCUGCCAUCCUUGCUCUGGGGAAACUGGCUAGAGGAGGCUCAGAUGCUACUGAGUUGUGCAAUGAGGGCACCUCAGGUUGUACAUUUGCGAUGUCCCUAUGUCAGACACAGGGUAAAACUGGAACUGGGAUAGAUAUGAUUCUUACUCGGGAAAUGUCACAGCGGAGAAUCAGAAGCCUGGCGCAUCUGCUAAGGCCUAGUGUAGCCCAGUCUGACAUUAAACUACAUAGCUGAGGGUGGCCUUGAACUUCUGAUCUUUUUGACUCUAUAUCCCCAAGGUUAAGAUACCACAUGUCAUGAGGGCUUUAUGCCUGCUAGGCAAGCACUCUUCCUAAGAUAUCUCCAGCUCCAGCCCCUCGAUUCAUAUUUAAGAGGCCCCUGGGAUGCCUCUCUAGAAGCUUAAGCUUGUGUCCCUUACCCUGGAUAUCUACCCCUAUCUGGCAUCCACACAGCCUGAAAGUGUAUCACUUCUCAGGCCCUCUCCAGCCCCUUCUCAGAUACAAAACCACCCACCUUCUCUUUUCCUCCCCGCUGACCUUUCCCUUCCACUCUGGGUUCCUUCAUCCUGAUGGCUUCCCAAAAAUACAUAUCAGGCUGGCUGUGGUAAUGGAUCCCUUUAAUCCCGGCAUUCAGGAUUUGGAGGCAGGGGGAUUUCUGUGAGCUCAAGGUCAGCCUGAUCUACACAGAGGAACACAAACAUGAAGAAAAAAGACAUAUGGACCUGGAGAGAUGUCUCAGCAGCUAUUUCAGAGGGCCAGAGUUCAGUCAGAGGUCGAAUUAAGUGACCACCACCCACAACUCUGGCACCAGAGGACACUUCUGGGUGCCACUGGCAUCCACACACAUAUGUGCCCAGACGUGUAUAUGUAUAAUUGUAAAGAUGAAUAGACCUUCUUAAGCCAGCAUAUCUAAGCAUCUUCUGCUCGUUUCUAGUUCUCUGGGUUAUUCCUCCCACUGUCCCAAGGCUCUGCGUGCUAGGGACUAUCAUUACUACAGCCACUGUGGUCUCUUGGGGCUCCGCGCUCCCACCCCCUACAUCAUUCCAAUCCACACAGUUCCCAAGUUUGUGCUGGGCACUGGGCAUGUGAGGUCCAUGUAGUCCCCACUCUGGUGGCACUCCCAAUUCAGGAGGUUUGAUGUAAUAAACCAAUCCAUGAGCAAGACAAUCUCUGCUCAUGCCAAGGGUGAUGGGAAUAAAGGCCAUGAUCCAGUGUAUGGAAGAAGUGCAUAGAGUCCUGAAAGGUGGUCCGAAGGAUCAAGGCAAGUAAAAAGUCCAGACAGGACUGAUACUUGGGAGCCCAGGAACGGGAAACCCUGGGGGUGGAAGUUUGCAGCUUGGGUUGAGGGCAAGGAGGGUGUUUGGAGUGAGUCAAGAGAGUGGUGACUCAUGCCAUGGUGAGGAGUUUGAAUUCUGUUCCACCGCCAAGAGACGUCACUGAAUACUUAAAGUAUAAGGGUGACAUCAUCCCAUCUAUGCUUUUAAAAGAUUAUGUUGUGUCCCUCUAGCUAGCUCACC
RNAcentral lists this long non-coding RNA (4194 nucleotides) under Mus musculus (house mouse). RNAcentral describes it as "long non-coding RNA chr2:32570903-32575097". The record is from RNAcentral. Lineage: Eukaryota; Metazoa; Chordata; Mammalia; Rodentia; Muridae.